Molecule: ribosomal RNA, 449 nt
Filed under: uncultured bacterium
Lineage: Bacteria
Description: bacterial SSU rRNA
Rfam family: Bacterial small subunit ribosomal RNA
Source: RNAcentral
CUUCCAGACUCCUACGGGAGGCAGCAGUGGGGGAUAUUGCACAAUGGGGGAAACCCUGAUGCAGCGACGCCGCGUGGGCGAAGAAGUAUUUCGGUAUGUAAAGCCCUAUCAGCAGGGAAGAAGAAAUGACGGUACCUGAGUAAGAAGCCCCGGCUAACUACGUGCCAGCAGCCGCGGUAAUACGUAGGGGGCAAGCGUUAUCCGGAUUUACUGGGUGUAAAGGGAGCGUAGACGGCGAAGAAAGUCUGAAGUGAAAGCCCGCGGCUUAACCGCGGAACUGCUUUGGAAACUUUUUUGCUGGAGUACCGGAGAGGUAAGCGGAAUUCCUAGUGUAGCGGUGAAAUGCGUAGAUAUUAGGAGGAAUACCAGUGGCGAAGGCGGCUUACUGGACGGUAACUGACGUUGAGGCUCGAAAGCGUGGGGAGCAAACAGGAUUAGAUACCCGUGUA